AAGUUAUGUAAGGGCGUAUGGGGGAUGCCUAGGCUCUCAGAGGCGAAGAAGGACGUGAUAAGCUGCGAAAAGUUGCGUGUAUUGGCACAUACGAUAUGAUACGCAAAUAUCCGAAUGGGGCAACCCAGUACAUUGAAGAUGUACUACACCGUAAAGGUGAGCAAACCCGCUGAACUGAAACAUCUAAGUAGGCGGAGGAGAAGAAAACAAAAGUGAUUCCCAAAGUAGUGGCGAGCGAAAUGGGAACAGCCCAAACCCAUAUUGUUACGGCAAUAUGGGGGUAGUAGGACCCAGAUAUAGGUUGUAAAGCUGGAUUAGAAGUGUUUGGAAAGACACACCAUAGAGAGUGAAAGUCUCGUAUAGGUACAGUUUUAUAAAUCUUAUGGGUAUCCUGAGUAGGUCGGGGCACGUGGAACCUUGACUGAAUCCGCCGGGACCAUCCGGUAAGGCUAAAUACUCCUGAGAGACCGAUAGUGAACUAGUACCGUGAGGGAAAGGUGAAAAGAACCGUGAAUAACGGAGUGAAAUAGACCCUGAAACCAUACGCCUACAAGCGGUCGGAGCAGCUUAGGCUGUGACGGCGUGCCUUUUGCAUAAUGAGCCUACGAGUUACUGUUACCAGCGAGGAUAAGUAUUUCAGAUACGAAUCCGUAGCGAAAGCGAGUCUGAAAAGGGCGCAAAUAGUUGGUAGUAGUAGACGCGAAACCUGGUGAUCUACCCUUGGGCAGGUUGAAGCGCUGGUAACACAGCGUGGAGGACCGAACUGGUUGUCGUUGAAAAGACUUCGGAUGACCUGAGGGUAGGGGUGAAAGGCCAAUCAAACUGGGAAAUAGCUCGUACUCCCCGAAAUGCAUUUAGGUGCAGCGUUGAUGUGAGUUUAAUAGAGGUAGAGCUACUGAUUGGAUGCGGGGGUUUCAUCGCCUACCAAUUCCUGACAAACUCCGAAUGCUAUUAAAUGCUCAUCAGCAGUGAGGGUAUGGGUGCUAAGGUCCAUAUCCGAGAGGGAAAGAACCCGGACCAUCAGCUAAGGUCCCCAAAUAUAUGCUAAGUUGACCAAACGCGGUCUGACUGCACUGACAGCUAGGAUGUUGGCUUGGAAGCAGCCAUACAUUUAAAGAGUGCGUAACAGCUCACUAGUCGAGCGGUUGGGCAUGGAUAAUAAACGGGCAUAAGCAUAUUACCGAAGCUAUGGGGUUAUUACUAAGUAAUAUACCGGUAGGGGAGCAUUCUAUUGGCGUGGAAGCUAAAGGCGUGAGCCAUAGUGGAGCCUGAUAGAAAAGAAAAUGUAGGCAUAAGUAACGAUAAGGCAGGCGAGAAACCUGCCCGCCGAAAGAUCAAGGUUUCCUCAGCUAUGCUAAUCAGCUGAGGGUUAGUCGGGGACUAACGCGAACCCGAGUAGGGGUAGUGGAUGUACAACGGGUUAAUAUUCCCGUACCAUUAAUCUAAUAAAAGUGACGGAAUGAGAUAGCUACCGCGUACUGACGGAAUAGUACGUUUAAGGAGUUGUUAUGACUUCAAAAGUACACCGAGGCUUCGGCUGAAGUGAGAGUGGCGACAACGUUUCCAAGAAAAGCGAAGAUUAAUGCCCGUACCGUAAACCGACACAGGUGAUUGGGAAGAGAAUUCUAAGGCGCUCGAGAGAUUCAUGGCUAAGGAACUAGGCAAAAUAGACCUGUAACUUCGGGAGAAAGGUCGCCUAUCGUAAGAUAGGCCGCAGUGAAAAGGUCCAAGCGACUGUUUAUCAAAAACACAGGACUCUGCAAAAUCGAAAGAUGAGGUAUAGGGUCUGACACCUGCCCGGUGCUGGAAGGUUAAGAGGAGAGCUUAGUGGUAACACGAAGGUUUGAAUUGAAGCCCCAGUAAACGGCGGCCGUAACUAUAACGGUCCUAAGGUAGCGAAAUUCCUUGUCGGGUAAGUUCCGACCUGCACGAAUGGUGUAACGAUUUGGACACUGUCUCGGCCAUGAGCUCGGUGAAAUUGUAGUAUCGGUGAAGAUGCCGAUUACCCGCAGUGGGACGAAAAGACCCUGUGCACCUUUACUAUAUCUUCGUAUUGGUCUUGGAUAAGUGAUGCGUAGGAUAGGUGGGAGACUGAGAAGCGGCUAUUCUGGUAGUUGUGGAGUCGUUGUUGAAAUACCACCCUUUGCUUAUCUGAGGCCUAACCCUCUUGAAGGGAGGGGACAAUUCGUGGAGGGUAGUUUGACUGGGGUGGUCGCCUCCAAAAGCGUAACGGAGGCUUCUAAAGGU
RNAcentral lists this ribosomal RNA (2247 nucleotides) under human metagenome. RNAcentral describes it as "bacterial LSU rRNA". It matches the Rfam family "Bacterial large subunit ribosomal RNA", at positions 1 to 2317 of the family's 2925-position model. The record is from RNAcentral.